CUCUCUCUCUCUCUCUCUCUGAUUUAUGUUCCCUUUACAAAAGCUCUCGCUGUGCAGUCUGCACUCUUCUUAAAUUUCAAAUCUCGCACGAUGAGCUCUGCACACAUCUAAGUGAAAAGAAGCUCGUACGUCAUCUGCUCUCCAAUCUCAAGCUGUCAAAUUUUAUUGUAUUCACUGUUCACCAUCUCUACUCUUGCUUCGUCCAGAUUCCAAUCCAAAUGCUGCUC
Molecule: unclassified non-coding RNA, 227 nt
Filed under: Hevea brasiliensis (rubber tree)
Lineage: Eukaryota; Viridiplantae; Streptophyta; Magnoliopsida; Malpighiales; Euphorbiaceae
Source: RNAcentral